UAAGAAGGGGGCUAGCGUUGCUCGGAAUGACUGGGCGUAAAGGGCGCGUAGGCGGACUGCACAGUCAGGCGUGAAAUUCCUGGGCUUAACCUGGGGACUGCGUCUGAGACGUGUGAUCUAGAGUGAGGAAGAGGGUCGUGGAAUUUCCAGAGUAGAGGUGAAAUUCGUAGAUAUUGGAAAGAACACCGGUGGCGAAGGCGGCGACCUGGUCCUUGACUGACGCUGAGGCGGGAAAGCGUGGGGAGCAAACAGG
Molecule: ribosomal RNA, 253 nt
Filed under: uncultured bacterium
Lineage: Bacteria
Description: partial 16S ribosomal RNA
Rfam family: Bacterial small subunit ribosomal RNA
Source: RNAcentral